AGUAACACGUAAACAACCUGCCUUCAGGAUGGGGACAACAGACGGAAACGACUGCUAAUACCGAAUACGAUCUUGAGUCGCAUGACACAAGAAAGGAAGGGUGGCCUCUACUUGUAAGCUAUCGCCUGAAGAGGGGUUUGCGUCCGAUUAGGUAGUUGGUGAGGUAACGGCCCACCAAGCCGACGAUCGGUAGCCGGUCUGAGAGGAUGAACGGCCACAUUGGAACUGAGACACGGUCCAGACUCCUACGGGAGGCAGCAGAC
RNAcentral lists this ribosomal RNA (263 nucleotides) under uncultured Dialister sp. RNAcentral's name for it is "partial 16S ribosomal RNA". It matches the Rfam family "Bacterial small subunit ribosomal RNA", at positions 109 to 354 of the family's 1533-position model. The record is from RNAcentral. Lineage: Bacteria; Bacillati; Bacillota; Negativicutes; Veillonellales; Veillonellaceae.